Molecule: ribosomal RNA, 274 nt
Filed under: uncultured bacterium
Lineage: Bacteria
Description: partial 16S ribosomal RNA
Rfam family: Bacterial small subunit ribosomal RNA
Source: RNAcentral
AUACGGAGGGUGCAAGCGUUAUCCGGAAUCAUUGGGUUUAAAGGGUCCGCAGGCGGAUUAAUAAGUCAGUGGUGAAAUCCUCUCGCUCAACGAGAGAACUGCCAUUGAAACUGUUAGUCUUGAAUUCGGUCGAGGUAGGCGGAAUGUGUCAUGUAGCGGUGAAAUGCAUAGAUAUGACACAGAACACCGAUAGCGAAGGCAGCUUACUAGACCUGGAUUGACGCUCAUGGACGAAAGCGUGGGGAGCGAACAGGAUUAGAAACCCGGGUAGUCC